GAGUUUGAUCAUGGCUCAGGAGGAACGCUGGCGGCGUGCCUAACACAUGCAAGUCGAGCGAGAAAUAGUCAGACGGAGAUUUCGGUUGAAGGAUGGUUAUGGAAAGCGGCGGACGGGUGAGUAACGCGUAGGCAACCUGCCUCAUGCAGAGGGAUAGCCUCGGGAAACCGGGAUUAAAACCUCAUAAGGCCAAGGGGACACAUGUUUUCGUGGUCAAAGAUUUAUCGGCAUGAGAUGGGCCUGCGUCUGAUUAGCUGGUUGGUGAGGUAACGGCUCACCAAGGCGACGAUCAGUAGCCGACCUGAGAGGGUAAACGGCCACAUUGGAANUGAGACACGGUCCAAACUCCUACGGGAGGCAGCAGUGGGGAAUAUUGCACAAUGGGCGAAAGCCUGAUGCAGCAACGCCGCGUGAGCGAAGAAGGCCUUUGGGUCGUAAAGCUCUGUCGAUAGGGAAGAAAAA
This 462-nucleotide ribosomal RNA is filed under the name Peptostreptococcaceae bacterium canine oral taxon 125. Its description in RNAcentral is "bacterial SSU rRNA". It matches the Rfam family "Bacterial small subunit ribosomal RNA", at positions 9 to 452 of the family's 1533-position model. Lineage: Bacteria; Bacillati; Bacillota; Clostridia; Peptostreptococcales; Peptostreptococcaceae. The record is from RNAcentral.